ACGGGGGUGGCAAGCGUUGUCCGGAAUUACUAGGCGUAAAGGGCAGGUAGGCGGAUCAGUAAGUCGGAUGUUUAAUCCUCGGUCUUAAGCUGAGACAUGCGUUUGAUACUGUUGAUCUAGAAUGCGGCGGGGAAAGACGGAAUUCCGGGUGUAGCGGUGGAAUGGGCAGAUAUCCGAAGGAAACCCGAAGGCGUAUGCAGUCUCCCAUACCGGAAUUGAAGCUGAUCUGCGAAGGUGUGGGGAUCAAACAU
Molecule: ribosomal RNA, 251 nt
Filed under: uncultured prokaryote
Description: partial 16S rRNA
Rfam family: Bacterial small subunit ribosomal RNA
Source: RNAcentral